CGACGCAACGCGAAGAACCUUACCAGGGCUUGACAUCCCUGACCGCGUAUGAAGUACGUUUCACCUCGGGUGACAGGGAGACAGGUGGUGCAUGGUUGUCGUCAGCUCGUGUCGUGAGAUGUUGGGUUAAGUCCCGCAACGAGCGCAACCCCUGUGUACCCUGUUGCCAGCAUUAAGUUGGGGACUCAUACGAGACUGCCGGCGUCAAGCCGGAGGAAGGUGGGGACGACGUCAAGUCAUCAUGCCCCUUAUGUCCUGGGCUGCACACGUGCUACAAUGGUCGGUACAAUGGGCUGCGAUGCCGCGAGGCGGAGCGAAUCCCAUAAAACCGGCCCCAGUUCGGAUCGGAGGCUGCAACUCGCCUCCGUGAAGUCGGAGUUGCUAGUAAUCGCGGAUCAGCACGCCGCGGUGAAUACGUUCCCGGGCCUU
This 429-nucleotide ribosomal RNA is filed under the name uncultured Coriobacteriaceae bacterium. Its description in RNAcentral is "bacterial SSU rRNA". It matches the Rfam family "Bacterial small subunit ribosomal RNA", at positions 952 to 1382 of the family's 1533-position model. The record is from RNAcentral. Lineage: Bacteria; Bacillati; Actinomycetota; Coriobacteriia; Coriobacteriales; Coriobacteriaceae.